UACAGAGGUCUCAAGCGUUGUUCGGAUUCAUUGGGCGUAAAGGGUGCGUAGGUGGCGCUGUAAGUCGGGUGUGAAAUUUCGGAGCUUAGCUCCGAAACUGCAUUCGAUACUGCGGUGCUUGAGGACUGGAGAGGAGACUGGAAUUCAUGGUGUAGCAGUGAAAUGCGUAGAGAUCAUGAGGAAGACCAGUGGCGAAGGCGGGUCUCUGGACAGUUCCUGACACUGAGGCACGAAGGCCAGGGGAGCAAACGGG
Molecule: ribosomal RNA, 253 nt
Filed under: uncultured bacterium
Lineage: Bacteria
Description: partial 16S ribosomal RNA
Rfam family: Bacterial small subunit ribosomal RNA
Source: RNAcentral